Stegostoma tigrinum is the source of this 875-nucleotide RNA transcript. It is a transcript of the gene named utrophin-like, with no coding region annotated. The transcript has 5 exons. The record is from RefSeq and is a predicted model, not a curated record. NCBI's taxonomy places the organism in Eukaryota, Metazoa, Chordata, Chondrichthyes, Orectolobiformes, Stegostomatidae.
AGGUCUGGGGAGACGGUGAACAUGUGGCAGGGCUCAGUGUGGCUGUCUCCUCUGGGGUUGCUGGCUGUGGAGGCUGUGGGCGGAGCGAUGAGGUCGUCGGCCGUGGGCGGGGUUCCGUCGGCAGUUGGAGUAUCGGGGGAGGCGGCAGCAGCUGCGGUGAGGGUGGUGUGUGAGGUGUUGUAUCUGUGGAAGUGGAGGUGGUGAGUGCAGCAGCGGUUCCGGAAGUGGUGUGGCCGGCGGAGGCGGAUGUGACGUCAUCGGUGGGGUCUCCGGCCGUGUCUUCAUGUUCAAUGGCGGCGGGGCAGACAACAUCAGGUGAAGAUGUGCGUGAUUUCAGCAAGGUGCUGAAAAAUAAGUAAGAAAUAUUUUGCCAAACAUCCUCGCUUGGGUUAUUUACCAGUACAAACAGCUCUAGAAGGCGAGAACCUUGAGACUGGAUCUGUUGGAGUUGCACACAGCGCAACGCGUCUUUGAUCAACACAAAUUGACACAAACCGAGCAACUUCUGAAUGUGACUGAAGUAAUCAACUGUUUAACGUCCAUUUAUGAUGUUUUGGAACAAAACCACAAGGACUUGGUCAAUGUGCCACUCUGUGUCGACAUGUGUCUGAACUGGCUGCUGAACGUAUUUGAUACGGGUAUGAGUGGAAGAAUCAGAGUGCUUUCUUUGAAAAUUCGCUUGACGUGACUCUUCAAGGAUCAUCUGGAGGAAAAAUACAAGUAUCUCUUCAAACAAGUCGCUGAACCCACAGAUUUAUGUGACCAACGAAGCCUGAGUCUUUUGCUUUACGAUGCAGUCCAGAUCCCUUGGCAGCUGGGUGAGGUAGCUUCAUUUGGAGGCUGCAACAUUGAACCAAGUAUCCGCAGUUGCUUCC